CACGUAGGGUGCAAGCGUUGUCCGGAAUUAUUGGGCGUAAAGAGCUCGUAGGCGGUCUGUCGCGUCGGAUGUGAAAACCCAGGGCUCAACCCUGGGCCUGCAUUCGAUACGGGUAGACUAGAGUUCGGUAGGGGAGACUGGAAUUCCUGGUGUAGCGGUGAAAUGCGCAGAUAUCAGGAGGAACACCGGUGGCGAAGGCGGGUCUCUGGGCCGAAACUGACGCUGAGGAGCGAAAGCGUGGGGAGCAAACAGG
RNAcentral lists this ribosomal RNA (253 nucleotides) under uncultured bacterium. RNAcentral's name for it is "partial 16S ribosomal RNA". It matches the Rfam family "Bacterial small subunit ribosomal RNA", at positions 524 to 776 of the family's 1533-position model. The record is from RNAcentral.